Colius striatus (speckled mousebird) is the source of this 997-nucleotide long non-coding RNA. RefSeq lists it as uncharacterized. The record is from RefSeq and is a predicted model, not a curated record. Lineage: Eukaryota; Metazoa; Chordata; Aves; Coliiformes; Coliidae. The transcript is spliced from 4 exons.
AUUCUGCUCAGCAAUUCCCAGGAUCGAGCCCCGACUGACAAAUGUAAAUCGGGACCUGCCGCAGACCCGCACUCUGUCACGAGCCGCUGUUCUCCUUCACGUGUCUCCUAAAUCUCUGUAUUUGCUUUGUGCUUGUGUCUGACACCCAAUCCUUCUUUAGUCGUACCUUUUAAGAAAAAAAGGCUAUCUGAUACGUUUCAGAGGAAGCAGAAAUGAACGUUUGCAAAGCCGCAGCGGAUGGAGAUGUUAUGGGAGGUUGGGCAUUGUUGUCACAGAUUUCAUGUGAGAAAUUUCAAGUUCUGCAAUGAGCUGGAAGGUACCAAUUGUACCAUUUUGAUUCUAGGCAACAGUGCUGCAGAAUAUGAGAGGAACAUUUUUCAGGAAGAAAACAAGACUGUGUGGACUAAUCAAAGGUUGAGCUCGGGAGUCAUUUGGAUACAGGAUUAGGCCCCAAGGAAGGUGGUCUGAAGAAAAACGUUUCCGUUGUUGCAAACGUGAACAGAGAGGAGUUGGCAGCCGGUGUCGCCAGGCAGAGAGUGCGGGUCUGACUGCUGUGAAGCGCCAGGUGGCCCGGCCUGGCUCGCGGCUGGCAGGGGAGCGGCUGGAGCGCGGCUGCCGCCGGGCUGGGGCCGGUCCGCUGCUGCGUUGCGGGAUCGGUGGUCGACGCGCCGGGCUCGGCUGCCCGUCGGAGCGGAGCGGCAGCGGCCGCCUGCUCACUCGUGCCUGCAGCACCCUGUGCAGUUUCGCCCCGUCAGGCGGCACCGGGCGGCUGCUCCGUUCCCGUUCCGCCCGCCACGGCAGGACCGGGCUGGGGCGCUCCCCUAAAAAGGGAGCGGCAGAGCUCGAGCCGGCACGGACCCGCCAAGGCACGGACGGGGUUCGAACCCGUGAUCUUCGGUUUACGAGACCGACGCCUUACCACUUGGCCACCGCGCCUGCGUUAUCGCGCGCUCCCGACGCCGUUGUACGUCGGUGGCGGCGGCUGUGCGGGCGGCGC